AGUGAACGCUGGCGGUAGGCCUAACACAUGCAAGUCGAACGGCAGCACAGUAAGAGCUUGCUCUUACGGGUGGCGAGUGGCGGACGGGUGAGGAAUACAUCGGCAUCUACUUUUUCGGGGGGGAUAACGUAGGGAAACUUACGCUAAUACCGCAUACGACCUACGGGUGAAAGCAGGGGAUCUUCGGACCUUGCGCGAUUGUAUGAGCCGAUGUCGGAUUAGCUAGUUGGCGAGGUAAAGGCCCACCAAGGCGACGAUCCGUAGCUGACCUGAGAGGAUGAUCGGCCACACUGGAACUGAGACACGGUCCAGACUCCUACGGGAGGCAGCAGUAGGGAAUAUUGGGCAAUGGGCGCAAGCCUGAUCCAGCCAUACCGCGUGGGUGAAGAAGGCCUUCGGGUUGUAAAGCCCUUUUGUUGGGGAAGAAAAGCAGCAGGUUAAUACCCCGCUGUUCUGACGGUACCCAAAGAAUAAGCACCGGCUAACUUCGUG
RNAcentral lists this ribosomal RNA (492 nucleotides) under uncultured bacterium. Its description in RNAcentral is "partial 16S ribosomal RNA". It matches the Rfam family "Bacterial small subunit ribosomal RNA", at positions 29 to 507 of the family's 1533-position model. The record is from RNAcentral.